GUGGAAAAUGGCUUGGAGGGGACAAUGCUGGAGUCAAGGAGGCCAGUGUGGGGCUAUUGCAAUAACUCAGAAACUGGAAAGAUGAAUAUAGAAGAGGGAUGGAUUUGAGAGAUAUUUACCAGGUGAAAUCCACAGCACUUGGUGAACAACAACAUGGGGAAUGAGGGGAAAAAGUCAUCAAGGCUGGCUCCCCGGUUUCUGGCGUGAGCAAAGACUAAAUGAUAAUAUCUGUCUCUGAGAAUGGAGUAUAGGAGAAGUGGAUUUCAUUCAUCAAUUCCGUAAAGAUUUAUUGAGCACCUACUACAUGCUGGUCACUGUGCAGAACACUGGGGAUACAACAGUGAGCAAAAUAAUAUCAUGUUUACCUCCAAGGAAUUUACAAUGUAGUGAGGGAUUAUGAAGAGGAGGUGAAAAUGGUCCCACUAACGACAACAAUCAGCACCCCGCUAUGAGAAGGAGGGAGGAAGGAGGAGCCACGAGUCUUCUGGGAGAGCAGACUCCUAUGAGGCGCAAGUCUCCUGGCCCCUCUUGCCACAAGCCAGGCCAAGAAGAGACUCCAAGAGGACAAUUCACAGAGACUGGGGAGAGAAUGGCGCUCCAUUU
RNAcentral lists this long non-coding RNA (603 nucleotides) under Pan troglodytes (chimpanzee). Its description in RNAcentral is "long non-coding RNA NONPTRT010540". The record is from RNAcentral. Lineage: Eukaryota; Metazoa; Chordata; Mammalia; Primates; Hominidae.